CCGCGCUAAGCGGGGAGCCAGCGGUGCCCUGUACCUGCAAUCCGCUAUAGCAGGGCCGAAUUCCCGUUUUGAGGCAUAUGUUUGUGAGGCAGGCGCUCGCGUGGGGCGUUGAUGCCCGGGUCCCGUGCAAUUCAUUACCGUGAACCAUGUCAGGGCCGGAAGGCAGCAGCAUUAAGCGGAAGGAUGGGUGUGCCGCGGGGCGGCCCGGGCGGAGCUACCUGCGGGCAUACCGCUUGUAGGCAUAGCGCCGAGGGAUGGGUGCGCGG
RNAcentral lists this signal recognition particle RNA (266 nucleotides) under Christensenellaceae bacterium. Its description in RNAcentral is "signal recognition particle sRNA large type". It matches the Rfam family "Bacterial large signal recognition particle RNA". Rfam says of the family: The signal recognition particle (SRP) is a universally conserved ribonucleoprotein involved in the co-translational targeting of proteins to membranes. The record is from RNAcentral. Lineage: Bacteria; Bacillati; Bacillota; Clostridia; Christensenellales; Christensenellaceae.